This 269-nucleotide unclassified non-coding RNA is filed under the name plant metagenome. RNAcentral describes it as "partial contains small subunit ribosomal RNA, internal transcribed spacer 1, and 5.8S ribosomal RNA". The record is from RNAcentral.
UUUCCGUAGGUGAACCUGCGGAAGGAUCAUUAAUGAGUUGUCAUGGGGUUCGAUGCUGGCAGCCAAUUUUUGGAUGCAUGUGCUUGCCCUAGCAAUCAUCUUCCAAACACCUGUGCACAUUUUUGAGGGAGUCUUGAGUUGGUUGCCGCUCUUGGGUGAUUUUCUCACAUUCCCUUAAAUCAUUAUACGCUAUUAACAAUGUUGAACGUGCUCUGUGCCGCAAGGCUAUUAAUAUAAUACAACUUUUAACAACGGAUCUCUUGGCUCUC